This 1072-nucleotide ribosomal RNA is filed under the name uncultured Natranaerobius sp. RNAcentral describes it as "bacterial SSU rRNA". It matches the Rfam family "Bacterial small subunit ribosomal RNA", at positions 335 to 1394 of the family's 1533-position model. The record is from RNAcentral. Lineage: Bacteria; Bacillati; Bacillota; Clostridia; Natranaerobiales; Natranaerobiaceae.
AUUCCUACGGGAGGCAGCAGUGGGGAAUCAUGGUCAAUGGGCGAAAGCCUGAACCUGCGACGCCGCGUGAGUGAUGAAGGUCGUAAGAUCGUAAAACUCUUUUCAGGGAUAUUAAAGGCAGCGCUCUAACAGAGCGUCUGCUGUGACUCUCCCUGGAAUAAGCCCCAGCCAACUACGUGCCAGCAGCUGCGGUAAUACGUAGGGGGCGAACGUUAUUCGGAAUUACUGGGUGUAAAGGGUAUGUAGGCGGCCUGUCAAGUCGCGUGUCAAAGUCCAGCGCUUAACGCUGGGUCCGCACGUGAUACUGUCAGGCUUGAGGGCUGGAGAGGUGAGCGGAAUUCCCGGUGUAGUGGUAAAAUACGUAGAUAUCGGGAGGAACACCAGCGGCGUAGGCGGCUCACUAGACAGUUUCUGACGCUAAGAUACGGAAGCGUGGGGAGCAAACAGGAUUAGAUACCCUGGUAGUCCACGCCCUAAACGAUGGAUACUUGGUGUUGGGGGGGUUACCUUCAGUGCCGGAGCUAACGCGUUAAGUAUCCCACCUGGGGACUACGGCCGCAAAGCUAAAACUCAAAGGAAUUGACGGGGGCCCGCACAAGCGGUGGAGCAUGUGGUUUAAUUCGACGCAACGCGAAGAACCUUACCGGGACUUGACAUUAUCUUGUCAGUCUAAGAAAUUAGAUCUUCUUCCUUUCGGGGAAGACAGGAUAACAGGUGGUGCAUGGUUGUCGUCAGCUCGUGUCGUGAGAUGUUGGGUUAAGUCCCACAACGAGCGCAACCCUUAUGCUUAGUUGCUAACUUGUUUUACAAGUGCACUCUAAGCAGACUGCCGCAGAUAAUGCGGAGGAAGGUGGGGAUGACGUCAAAUCAUCAUGCCCCUUACGUCCCGGGCUACACACGUGCUACAAUGGCCUGUACAAAGGGUAGCGAAAGAGCGAUCUUAAGCCAAUCCCAAAAAGCAGGUCCCAGUUCGGAUUGGAGGCUGCAACUCGCCUCUAUGAAGUAGGAAUCGCUAGUAAUCGCGGAUCAGCACGCCGCGGUGAAUACGUUCCCGGGCCUUGUACACACCGCC